Molecule: long non-coding RNA, 1301 nt
Filed under: Sinocyclocheilus grahami
Lineage: Eukaryota; Metazoa; Chordata; Actinopteri; Cypriniformes; Cyprinidae
Description: lncRNA (ENSSGRG00000049105.1)
Source: RNAcentral
UGCUUCCACUGAUAGAAGGAAAAAAUUCAAGUGAUUGCGCCGGCUCUGCAAGCGCACACACAGUUACGUUUUGCUACCUCGACAAUGCAGCCUGUUCAUUAUCAUAAUAAAAUAGUCAGUCAAACAUAUGGGAAAAAAAAAAACACACUGCUCAGUUUAAAUAUGUAGUUAGUAAAAUCUGUGCCGUUAAGCGUUAUCACCGUAUUGCCGUGAUGUUAUGCAAAACAUUUAGUUUUAUGUGGAUAUUGGAACACCAGUUGAAGUAGGCUACAUAAUAAAUAAUAUUUUGGCAUUCAAAUACAUCGCGAAUACGGAAACAUUUGAUUUUGUGUCGAUUGAGAGACCCAACGGUGGUUUCAGUUCCGUUUUAGCCUAAAUUAAUUUGUUUUGUCUUGUCGUUUAUAUAGCUAUAGCUUCUUAUAUUUUUAAUUCUUGUUCUUUUCUAAAUACUGUUGAUUGAAAGGAUUUGUUGUGGAGUGAGGGGAACUAAAAUAGCCUAGCUAUGUUUACAGUGUUUAUUAUAAUUCUUGUAAACAUUUCGCGUCGUCAUUAGGCCUAUUUCUGAAUGAAAAUUUUUUUCUAAAAAAAACAACAAAAAAUUUAUAUAUGCAUAGCGUAUUUUAACCAUGCAGCAAACCUAUAUAUUUUGACAAAUUACUGAAAAAAAAUAAAGUAAAUGACUUUUAAACCGUUUAACUGAUUGUAUUAAUCGGUCAAAAAUUCUUACGGUCGGUUAACCGGUUAAAAUGAACAUCCCUAGUAUAAACCAAUUUUUUGGCCAUCCUAAGAGCUGUGGAAGAAUACAUUUACAAUAAAAUCUUUCAUGUGACCUGUAAUAUAAGAUAAUGGUUUCCCUUUUACUCGACAGGUGAAACAAUAAUUAUUGUCCAGCCUAUACCUAGUCCUGGUCCAGAAAUCUGCAGUGAAUCUAUAUUGGAUACAAAAUGACUUGCUCAAAUGUCCCCAUUUUGAUCCAGCCCAGUUCCACUGUCAACACCUCAGAGUCCACGCAUUUCGCAGCCAGCCAGUCUUAAGUACAACACCCAGAAAUGAGCCACCUGCCUGGUCCUAGUCCCGGUCAUUACUGAGGGGGUCCUGCUGAUGGACUCUAAGGCCCCUGAUGUAGUGUGCUGACGGCAGGGCAUCACGGCACCAGGACUAAACUGUGCCACUGCGCCAUACCCGGACUCUGACCCACUGGAAUCGAGUGGCAGUUUGCCAAAAGACAAAGAAGCCUCUGCCAAUCUCAUCUGUGUCUCCAUUGGUGUGUAUGUCUGUCUGUUCGUAUAUAACUACACGUU